UGGCGGACGGGUGAGUAAUGUCUGGGAAACUGCCUGAUGGAGGGGGGUAACUACUGGAAACGGUAGCUAAUACCGCAUAACGUCGCAAGACCAAAGAGGGGGACCUUCGGGCCUCUUGCCAUCGGAUGUGCCCAGAUGGGAUUAGCUAGUAGGUGGGGGAACGGCUCACCUAGGCGACGAUCCCUAGCUGGUCUGAGAGGAUGACCAGCCACACUGGAACUGAGACACGGUCCAG
This 235-nucleotide ribosomal RNA is filed under the name uncultured bacterium. RNAcentral describes it as "partial 16S ribosomal RNA". It matches the Rfam family "Bacterial small subunit ribosomal RNA", at positions 96 to 334 of the family's 1533-position model. The record is from RNAcentral.